This 240-nucleotide unclassified non-coding RNA is filed under the name soil metagenome. RNAcentral describes it as "partial contains 5.8S ribosomal RNA, internal transcribed spacer 2, and large subunit ribosomal RNA". The record is from RNAcentral.
AACCUUAUGGACCUGCGGGCGUAUACCUGCGGAAGGAUCAUUAACCUUUCAAAUCAGGGUGCGGCGCGGCCCCCGAGGAGCGGAAACAAUCCUUGGGAGGUAUGCGGGGGCUUCGAGCCCCCCAUUUACGCACGCACGACUGCCAUCCUUACUUUACGAGCACCUUCUGUUCUCCCUCGGCGGGGCAACCUGCCGUUGGGACCGAAUAAACUCUUUUUGCAUCUAGCAUUACCUGUUCCG